RNA transcript from Hyaena hyaena (striped hyena), 2433 nucleotides. It is a transcript of the gene named leucine-rich repeat-containing protein 37A2-like, with no coding region annotated. The record is from RefSeq and is a predicted model, not a curated record. Lineage: Eukaryota; Metazoa; Chordata; Mammalia; Carnivora; Hyaenidae. The transcript is spliced from 5 exons.
AAAGUAUAUAUAAGGAGUGCGGAAGGAUCCUUCAUGAAGGUAUUGAAAGCUGGGAAGAAGAGCACCAGCACUGAACUGACUAUUGAGGUAGAAAAGCCGUCCUCAGACAAAAGUGGCUUCAGUUUGUCAGCCUUUAUGAAUGAGCAGCUACACUUUAAUGAUGAAAGUGAUGUCAUUAGCGCACUGAAUUCCAUACUGCCUUACUUCUCGGAGGGACAUCUAGAAGAUGUAGAAUCGACGUGAUUACCAUUCAUUAACCUUCUGUUUUCAAGUGUGCAAGAGGGAGACAGUCCCCUGGGUCACUUGACAAACAACACACAGGAACCUUCUCUUAAGCCUGGAUCCAACAAUUCGACUUAUAAGAAUAAACUGAGGAAACUCUAUUUUCUGGAAAACUUGUUAGAUGCAGAAAUUCAGGAAAAAGUUGAUGAGGUGAAAGAGAAAGAAAAAACUGCCAUGCUUAUACCUUCCAGCCUUUUAGGUCCCAAGUUGAAACGUCAAAUCUUUCCAAAGAAAUUGGAAACUGCUCAAGGACAGGAAAAGAGCCUAGACAAGGUUGAGAAUGUCGGGAAAAAAAUGCUGAGAGUGAACAAGUUCAUCAAAGGCCUGAAGGGCAUCCAGAAAAGGCGCCUUAAAGAAAUGAGACGUCAGAAUACCCAGAGGAAACAGAAUACCCAGCCAUUUGUGGAGAAUGUGGCCGAAGAAAGACGGCUCGAGAGACCGUCCGCAGGAGGGGUGGAACAGCUUCACGUGGCACAGAGGCCCCGGAAAUUGGUGGGAAGCUCCUUCAAAACAGAGCCCUCAUUCAUACAGGAACACAAGGCAGCGGUCUCUUCUUUCCUGAAACAAUUCUCUCUGGGCAGGCCUGCUGCCUCCACCGCUCCCAAAUCCCCAGCUGAGGUGAAAAACAAAUCAAAAGACUUGACAUACCCCAUUUCUGUUUUAGAAGACGCAAAUGCUAGAGUUAGAAACAUGGAGGCUUUCAGACGAGCCCCACAUUCCAGAAAAAAAUACCUCUUCCAUAAAACUCACUCGCGUGUGGUUCACAGAACACCCAAGGCCAAACUGAAGCACAAGUCGAGAAGGGAAAGUUCACUCCGUAAUAGACUGAUGCUCGCAAAGAGGCCUCUGUUCUCUGCAGUCAGGAGCCUCAUAAAUUCCCCUUCACGGGAGGAUUUUUCAUCUCCCGGAGAACUGGGUCCUCAGGAAAAUCCUUUUCCAGAAUGAUUUACUCUUUCAAAACCUAAGAGAGAAAACACUACCGUAGAGAACUCUAAUGCACAAAAUAUCUUGGAAGAAAAUAUUUCUACAGGAAACACUACUCGGCCAGAACAAACCUUCCCUGAAUUCACAAGCCGUAAGAAUCUUUCCACGGCUAAUUCUACCAUUACUGCAGACAGCUCCGUGCCGCCGCUAAACAAGCCAACAAUUCGCAAUGGGAAUACUACAGUGUGGGCACUGACUUGCCCUCAGAGGCCACAGGCUUCACUGUGUCCAACCCCUCAUCCCCAGGUGAUCUAUAUGAGAUGCAGUUAAACCAGCGGCUACGGCCCCUCAUCCCCCACAAUGAUGUGAGAAGGCUCAUUUCUCACGUUAUCUGGACUUUGAAAAUGGACUGCUCUGAGACCCACGUGCAGCUGGCCUGUGCCAAGCUCAUCUCCAGGACAGGCUUCCUGAUGAAGCUUCUCAGCGAGCAGCAAGAGAUGAAGGUGUCCAAGGCAGAGUGGGAUAUGGACCAAUGGAAAAAUGAGAAUGACAUCAAUGAGAGCAGUGAAGCCCAGGGUGAACAGAAAGGGGCAGAUUCGAGGGAGAUUUAUUCUCAUAGAGCAGCAGUAGAGGAAAGUAAAGAAGGAAACUCAAGGUAAAUAUUAGUCUGGCAAUCAUUAAAGUAGAAUUUAGACGUAGAUUUUCAAACUCAUCUAUUUCAAUCCUCAUGUUUUACAGCCAGGAAAUCACCAAAAGCAGAAAGAAUAUUUGGCGUAACGCUUUGCCUGGAUCCAGCAAAAUUAGCUUCCCAGCCAAACCUGAGGGCUUCUUCCAAUCUCUGCUGGGUCGGAGAUGCUCCACAGAAAGUGACAAUCAGGAGGGCUUUUUCUGGAUAAGGCGGCCACUGUGGCUCAGGGACAUGUACAGACCUCUCAAUGCCACACGCCAGAAAAACAUGGCACAGAAGCUACACCACAAGGAUUCUUCUGAUGAGGAUGAGAUUUUCAACACGGAACCAGGGGAGUCCAGUGAAGCCGCAACAGAGAAGCCUCAGGCCACAGAUUCCACUGCCGAGGAGCUGGGCGACGAAAGUGAGACAGGGCGUGAGACUGUCACCGAGUGAGCCCCGUCCUGCCUCUGGCCGCCAACAAAGUUUAUUUUCUCAUACUGGCUUCUCAGCAUUGCUUGCGAAAUACUUAUUUUUCUCAUAUUAAAAUGUGUAAGUUC